Molecule: non-coding RNA, 31 nt
Filed under: Homo sapiens (human)
Lineage: Eukaryota; Metazoa; Chordata; Mammalia; Primates; Hominidae
Source: RNAcentral
UGGUAGAUGAAAAUGACACUUGCCUGGUGUA